UGGGGAAUUUUGGACAAUGGGGGAAACCCUGAUCCAGCCAUCCCGCGUGUGUGAAGAAGGCCUUCGGGUUGUAAAGCACUUUUGUCCGGAAAGAAAUCCUUGGCUCUAAUACAGUCGGGGGAUGACGGUACCGGAAGAAUAAGCACCGGCUAACUACGUGCCAGCAGCCGCGGUAAUACGUAGGGUGCAAGCGUUAAUCGGAAUUACUGGGCGUAAAGCGUGCGCAGGCGGUUUGCUAAGACCGAUGUGAAAUCCCCGGGCUCAACCUGGGAACUGCAUUGGUGACUGGCAGGCUAGAGUAUGGCAGAGGGGGGUAGAAUUCCACGUGUAGCAGUGAAAUGCGUAGAGAUGUGGAGGAAUACCGAUGGCGAAGGCAGCCCCCUGGGCCAAUACUGACGCUCAUGCACGAAAGCGUGGGGAGCAAACAGGAUUAGUACCCUGGUAGUCCCACGCCCUAAACGAUGUCAACUAGUUGUUGGGGAUUCAUUUCCUUAGUAACGUAGCUAA
RNAcentral lists this ribosomal RNA (507 nucleotides) under uncultured bacterium. Its description in RNAcentral is "partial 16S ribosomal RNA". It matches the Rfam family "Bacterial small subunit ribosomal RNA", at positions 355 to 855 of the family's 1533-position model. The record is from RNAcentral.